Molecule: long non-coding RNA, 740 nt
Filed under: Papio anubis (olive baboon)
Lineage: Eukaryota; Metazoa; Chordata; Mammalia; Primates; Cercopithecidae
Description: lncRNA (ENSPANG00000044856.1)
Source: RNAcentral
AGUGUACAAGCAAAAGCUUCUGGUGGCACCAUGCAAUUUAAGGAUACAUGUUUUUUAUUUUUGUGUCCUCCUGUACAGGUUUAAUUGCAAGAUGGGUUUGAAGGAAUUAAGGAUAGUCUGCUGAAAGUAGCACCAGCCCCUGGAUUAAAAGGGAUGUUUGGAUGAAGCUUCGAUCUCAAGAAGAGUGCUCCUGCGCCACUCUGAAAUCCCUUCCUAGUUUUACCCAGCUGGAAACGCCACUACCUUAGCCACACUGAAGUUCCUCUACAUUCUUCAUUUCUGCACGUGCAGGAGGUGGAUCCCAGAUGCUGCUGCUGAGGAUGGGAAUCUCCAGAUUGGGAUGUCUGCAUGCCAGAGCUUGUGCAAGAUGAUCCACUAGGCCUGUAGCAAUUUCAGUUUCAAUUUAUAUUUUUCUUUUUCUUUUAAUCCCUAUUUUUUGGGGUAUUUUAUGAUGCACAUAAUGUAUUAGUAAAAUAUACACGCAUAUAAUUAAAAAUAAACAUGCAUAUGGUAGUGUCUUAGCCUAGGCUGCUGUGACAGAAUACCAUAAACUGGGUGUUUAUGCAACAAACAUUUAUUUCUCACAGUUCUAGAGGCUGAAACUGAGGGUGCCAGCAUGGCUGGGUUCUAGUGAGGGCCCUCUUCUGGGUUGCAGACAGAUAUCUUCUUGUUGUGUUCUCACAUGGCAGAGAGACUUAUCUGUCUUGUGUUUCUUCUUAUAAGGACACCAAUCCCAUUCA